CAACCCUUAAGCUUAGCUUAGUGUUGGGAAUCUACCGCGAGCGGUGCUACACUGUAGCUACCCUGUAGUUCCUCAAAUUUAACGGCGGAGUUCUAGUUACCUCUGAGCGCAGUAAUACUUAUCACGCUUAGGAAGUGCUAUAAUUCUAGCCGUAAAACCCCCAAUUUUUUAAU
RNAcentral lists this unclassified non-coding RNA (173 nucleotides) under uncultured Xylariales. RNAcentral describes it as "sequence contains ITS2". The record is from RNAcentral. Lineage: Eukaryota; Fungi; Ascomycota; Sordariomycetes; Xylariales.